RNAcentral lists this ribosomal RNA (506 nucleotides) under uncultured bacterium. RNAcentral's name for it is "bacterial SSU rRNA". It matches the Rfam family "Bacterial small subunit ribosomal RNA", at positions 26 to 518 of the family's 1533-position model. The record is from RNAcentral.
AGGACGAACGCUGGCGGCGUGCCUAACACAUGCAAGUCGAGCGGGGACAUGCGACGGAUAGGAAGAUUCGGUUGGACUUGAAGAUGCAUUGUUCUAGCGGCGGACGGGUGAGUAACGCGUGAGCAACCUGUCCCUUACAGGGGGAUAACACAGCGAAAGUUGUACUAAUACCGCAUAAGACCACGGGAGGACAUCCUUCAGGGGUCAAAGGAGGAAUCCGGUAAGGGGUGGGCUCGCGUCCGAUUAGAUAGUUGGUGAGGUAACGGCCCACCAAGUCGACGAUCGGUAGCCGACCUGAGAGGGUGAUCGGCCACAUUGGGACUGAGACACGGCCCAAACUCCUACGGGAGGCAGCAGUGGGGAAUAUUGGGCAAAUGGGGGAAACCCUGACCCAGCAACGCCGCGUGAGGGAAGAAGGUUUUCGGAUCGUAAACCUCUGUCCUUGGUGAAGAGGAAGAGACGGUAGCCAAGGAGGAAGCCCCGGCUAACUACGUGCCAGCCGCGGC